AUGAUAGACAACGAGUUGUUCACAUUGGAGGAGGACGAACGGCUCAUCGAAGAAAUCGCCAAGAGUCCAGAGCUCUACGAUCCCCAUCACGCUGGCUACAAGCAAGUGACAGUGAAGGACCAGCAUUGGGCGGAAAUUGCUAAGAAACUUGAUAAAGCUGUCGAUCACUGUAAAAAGAGAUGGAAAAAUCUCAGAGAUAAUUAUUUCAAGCAAUUAAAGUCGGGACCAAACAAAAUCAGGAGGAGAAAAAAUACCCUCUUACAAAAAUUGGCGUUUUUGAGCAACAUCGAACCGAGAAAGCCCGUAGUGGAAGCUCCGCCACAAAAGCGUCCUCGCCUCCGAGCCCCGACCGACGAGGGUCUCUCCGUCGAUUCCUCAAACCAACAGGAAACCCUCAUGGACACGGAGGAGGUUUUCCAACCGGUGAUCCAUCAAAUGCAAGACUUCCAACAGACCGAGCACCAACCCAUGAGCGAAACUGCCACGACUGAGAACGAUCCUCUCAAAGACGUGGACAUCGUCGAGUUGCUCUCCGGGGUCCUGAAAAGGCGGGACCAAGAAAACGCCAAUUUGAUCAAUCACAUUCUGAGCCUUCAAAACCAACGCAAAAGUGAGGACGAGCUUGAACUUUUCUUCAAGUGCAUCCUAUUGACCAUGAGGAAGUUACCGCCAGCUGUUGUUUCUGAGCUGAAGGGUAAAAUAUUUGCCUUGGUUUCAGAGCAAGAAAUCAAGAUGCUGCAACCCACGGCGAGGCCUGAUUCCAGCAUGUCGAUUAAUUCUGACAUCCAACAUUAGAAUCCCCGUUUUUGCUUGACACACUGUUAAAAGCCGGGAAGCGAAAUUCGGUGCCGGAGUCUAUGUAGCGUCCAAAAACUCUGAUUGAUAAGAUUGAUAUUCUUUGUGUAAAGUGAAAUUAGCACCAUAAAAGCGUACGACACUCCGCAAAAAGAGUCGAUUCCGAAAUAGUGAAAGGCUUUUCUUUAGGAGCAUAGAUUUUGAUCCGCAUCAAUUUAAUAACUCGGGGUUUUGGGACGCUCUACAGACUCCGGCACAGAAGUUCACUCCAAAUUUUUAACAGUAGGUACACUUGUUACCACCCGUGAUGCUAGUACGUUUCCCCUCAUAUUUAAGUACUGUAUUCACUUUAUGUUAAGUUUGAUUCUCCUUCAUGAUAAGAAGAACUCAGAAAUUCAGAGGCGGAUCCAGCAAUUUGGCAACACUGAAUUUCCUCCUUUAAAUCUAUGCUAAAUAAUCGAUUCUUGUCGGAGCUCUUGGCCCCUCUAAGAAUCGAUACAUUUCCAUAGGUUUAAAUGGAGGAAAUCUUGUGUUGCCAAGUUGCUGGAUCCGCCAAUGCAGAAAUUUCGACGUGUCCUAUCGGAUCACGUAUUUUCAUGUGUACAUUCGUAGCUAUACUAACCCUAUGACAAUUUGAUCUCAUCAAAAUUAACAACCACACUCUGUCCAGAUACACUCGAUUCUCCCAUGUAUGAUUAAGCACCUUCUUUAAAAUAGAGUUCCCAGAGGAGGAAUUUUCAUCCUUGCCUUCAGGUAGCGAAUAAUCAUUCAAAGUGUCCACUCGAAAAUUAUUGUGUUUGUAAGUACCUGUGAUAAGUGCAAAGUACGAUUUAUGACACAUUAAAUUUAUUUUUUUAAGUCUUCUCUUACAAAAUAUUCUAAUUUAUUGUUUAAGUACUUUGUUUUUUUGACAAUUAAAAUUUGUAAAAAAAUAAAGAAUUCCAUUAAAUUUCUCUUUUCUGGAUAUUUUUGUGUCACUUUUGCAGCGGCAAGCCAUUUUGGAGGAUCUUUCAGUGCCUAAAAAUAAAAAGGUAUUAUAAGGAAAGCUAUUUUUAUACAGGGUGUCCCACGUCUACCGUGCCAGGCUUUUUCCUUCAGUUAUUUAAAGGCCCGUGAAAUCAAGAGCCGCAGGGACAAAUAAAGAAUUGAUCCCUGGGAGUCCGAAUAUUCUCGUCAUAAGUUUGAAAUUAAUUUUAAAAAAAUCAGAAAGUGCGGAAAAUAACCUUAAACGACACCAAUUGUCCAAAAUCGACCUUAUCUUGUCCUAAGUCUUGACCCUUUAAUUUGAGGUACAGAAUCCCCCCUCCAUAAAAUGUCAGACCACUAAAUUAACUUAUGGAUAUUACAAACGGCUUCCGAGCUAUACACUGUUAAAAUUCAAGGAGUGAAAUUCGGUGUAUCACUGGAGUAAGUAUAGCGCCCAAAGAACGAGUGUUGGAUGAUGCGAAGUGAAAUUUACUCCGCAAGGCACUUCCUAAAAGGCAUAGAUUCCGUUCCGUAAACUUGUAAGUCACUCCGUAAAGUGAGUAAAUUUUACACCACGUUCAUGUCACUCCCGGGUUCUUUAAGCGCUUACAGACUCCGGCACCGAACUUUACUCCAAAAUUUUUAAAUGUGUAGUGGUUACGAGAGAUUUCUAAGAUAAGCGAAGCUUUGCAUCACGCAUGCAAUAAACAAAAAAACAUUAAAAAAGAUGAGGUGUCUGAUAGUAAGAAAAUGAAUCUUUGCUGCACCG
Molecule: long non-coding RNA, 2530 nt
Filed under: Bemisia tabaci
Lineage: Eukaryota; Metazoa; Arthropoda; Insecta; Hemiptera; Aleyrodidae
Description: lncRNA ENSSSA1NGG007162
Source: RNAcentral